Molecule: ribosomal RNA, 482 nt
Filed under: uncultured bacterium
Lineage: Bacteria
Description: partial 16S ribosomal RNA
Rfam family: Bacterial small subunit ribosomal RNA
Source: RNAcentral
AGGGAAAGAGGGAGGGAGGAAGUACACAGGCAAGUCGAACGGUAACAGGUCUUCGGAUGCUGACGAGUGGCGAACGGGUGAGUAAUACAUCGGAACGUGCCCGAUCGUGGGGGAUAACGGAGCGAAAGCUUUGCUAAUACCGCAUACGAUCUACGGAUGAAAGCAGGGGACCGCAAGGCCUUGCGCGGACGGAGCGGCCGAUGGCAGAUUAGGUAGUUGGUGGGAUAAAAGCUUACCAAGCCGACGAUCUGUAGCUGGUCUGAGAGGACGACCAGCCACACUGGGACUGAGACACGGCCCAGACUCCUACGGGAGGCAGCAGUGGGGAAUUUUGGACAAUGGGCGAAAGCCUGAUCCAGCCAUGCCGCGUGCAGGAUGAAGGCCUUCGGGUUGUAAACUGCUUUUGUACGGAACGAAAAGACUCUUUCUAAUAAAGAGGGUCCAUGACGGUACCGUAAGAAUAAGCACCGGCUAACUACGUC